RNAcentral lists this non-coding RNA (26 nucleotides) under Homo sapiens (human). The record is from RNAcentral. Lineage: Eukaryota; Metazoa; Chordata; Mammalia; Primates; Hominidae.
UCCGAUGUUUGUGAUGUACCAACUGC